Molecule: transfer RNA, 74 nt
Filed under: Orenia metallireducens
Lineage: Bacteria; Bacillati; Bacillota; Clostridia; Halanaerobiales; Halobacteroidaceae
Description: tRNA_Pro_GGG
Rfam family: tRNA
About the family: Transfer RNA (tRNA) molecules are approximately 80 nucleotides in length.
Source: RNAcentral
CGGGCUGUGGCGCAGUUUGGUAGCGCACUACGCUGGGGGUGUAGGGGUCGUUGGUUCAAAUCCAAUCAGCCCGA